AUGCGCACCCGAGCGGCGGAGCGGCCCAAGCGCUGGCCGAGGGGCCGACGACCCCGGGCGCGCCACCCCCAACCCCUGCGCUCCCACUCCCCGCCGCCGGGGAAGGGAUUUCUCUCCGGGACAGCUGGCCCGCGCUGUGAUGUUUCAAAGAAGGCGAAAAGUGGGCUAAUGUUUGUAAAACUGGUUAACCCCUGUUCAGGAGAAGGAGCCAUUUACUUGUUCACUAUAUGUCUACAGCAGCUGUUUGAAGUAAAAGUUUUCAAGGAAAAACACCAUUCUUGCUUUAUAAAUCAAUCAGUUCAAUCAAGAGGCCUUGUCCACUUUGCCACACCUGUGGAUCCUCUAUUUCUGCUUCUCCACUACCUCAUGAAGGCUGAUAAGAAGGGGAAGUUUCAGCCCCUUGAUCAAGUUGUGGUGGAUAACGUGUUUCCAAAUUGCAUCUUGUUGCUGAAACUUCCUGAACUUGAGAAGUUACUUCACCAUGUGACAGAGGAAAAAGAAAAAGACAACAAGAAACAUUACAAGUACAGCGAAAAGAAGACAUUAAAGUGGCUGGAAGAAAAGGUUAAACUACGGCAGCAUUAAAAACAGGUAAUGUGAAUGUCAUUUCCCCGGUACAGUCAACUGCAUUUUUCUCUGGUGACCAAGUUUCCACUGACAAGGAAGAGGAUUAUAUUCUUUAUGCCCAUGGCGUGAUAUCUGAUUACAUCCCUAAAGAAUUAAGUAAUGACUUAUCUAAAUACUUAAAGCUUCCAGAACCUUCAGCCUCAUUGCCAAAUCCUCCAUCAAAGAAAAUAAGGUUAUCAGAUGAGCCUGUAGAAGCAAAAGAAGAUUACACUAAGUUUAAUACUAAGGAUUUGAAGACUGAAAAGAAAAAUAGCAAAAUGACUGCAGCUCAGAAGGCUUUGGCUAAAGCUGACAAGAGUGGAAUGAAAAGUAUUGAUACCUUUUUUGGUGUAAAAAAUUUUUUUAAAAUGGGAAAGGUUUGAAACUUUGAGAAAAAAAAAACAAAGAGACAGUGUGAACUGAGGUAGUCAGGACCGAGAGUGGACAAGGGCUGGCUGUCUUCUCUCUAGCUGGGCUGACAGUGGGAAGCAUCUCAUGGUACAAGGUAAGUUUGGUAAGUAAAACCUUUUGUGUAUGUGUCAAAAGAUUCAUAAGUGCUCGGGACAGAAUGAUGGAAACAAGAUUUAGCAAGACCCCAACCGCCAAAAAAGGUUUAGAGGUUGCAGCUGUAGGGAAACUCAUACAGUAUGAGUCAAGAGUGAGAUAAUGUUCCCUCUUUCCCACCCAAAUAACUUAUGAGACUUUAGGUGGCAGUUUAAUUUAUCUGUGAUGGCUUAAUCCACACUGGCCGACAGUAACAGGAAAGCAGCCGCAUCCCAGAGUGGAGGCACCGGCGAGGGAGGAGACGGACUUCCUGGAGCAGCUGAAGGAAACAGUCAGGUCUGAGGCGCUCAGGAGCAGAGUCAGGGAACUGGUGCUUCAUUCAACCCAUAUGGGGUUUCCAGCAUGAUUUGAACUGGCAUUUAAAAUUCAGACUGUGUCACAUACACAUCUAGAUUCUGCUUUUUCUCAUGCUUGUUGCAUUUUCCCAUGAGACAGCCAUUGUGUGCACCCCAGCUGGACCCACCCCCAUCCCCGACCACGGGGACCAGAGCUGCCGUUGGUUAACACCUAUCAUGAACUUUAUACUGAGGCUUUUCUUCUGGUAAGAGAGAGAAUUCUCUGUAUCUGUGUCCAUUAAAAGCAGCAUAAUGAGAUUUUAAGAGUAUGUGAAGAAUGUUUUUGUAAGUUUAAUGCAAGGAGCAAGUCCAUUUCUCUCCUUUAUUUACCUGGAUUCUGUAAAAUGUCUAAAAUCUUGACAUCUAAGCCAUUUGGCAAAGGAAAUAGCUGGAGGAUGUAGAAUAGCUAGCCCAGAAAAGAGAACACCUAGGUACUAUAAGAGGUUAGACUCUAAUAUAUGUAAGAUUGUCACAAGGGGGAAAUAUUGAAUUUGACCCGCAACCACCAGUUGCAAGAGAUGUAUCUAAAAUAGAAAAAUACAGAAAGAUUGAAAGUUAAAAGCAUCUGUGGUCCAAUUACUUUUUACAAAGCAAUUUAAAAGAUUUAAAAAGGUAUUUCAUGCAAACACUAAACAAAAGAAAGUGCACCUAAUUUAAUAUCUGUCAAGGAAGAUUU
Rhinopithecus roxellana (golden snub-nosed monkey) is the source of this 2181-nucleotide RNA transcript. It is a transcript of the gene named ribonuclease H2 subunit B pseudogene, with no coding region annotated. The record is from RefSeq and is a predicted model, not a curated record. Lineage: Eukaryota; Metazoa; Chordata; Mammalia; Primates; Cercopithecidae. The transcript is spliced from 2 exons.